This 808-nucleotide long non-coding RNA is filed under the name Daucus carota (carrot). Its description in RNAcentral is "long non-coding RNA (DCAR_LNC006077)". The record is from RNAcentral. Lineage: Eukaryota; Viridiplantae; Streptophyta; Magnoliopsida; Apiales; Apiaceae.
UUUGAAGCGACUCUUAUCUCACUGAUAUCCAAGUCGUCACCAAAGACACAGUCAUGCUUCACUAGAAGGAAAAAGUAUGAAAAGGAAAAUAAAAAAUGCAAAUAUCAGCAACUAGGCCAUAAAAAGCAAAUCUGAGUUGCGCACAAAAAUGAAAUAUUAGUCCCUUAUCAUUGUAAAAGUAGCUCAUUUUUUACUACUACAGUGAGGAAAGAGUUUUAUUUAUCUAAGCUAUAUAGAUUAAGAGAUCAACAAAUUAAUCUAGUUAACAAAAGAAGAAAAAGAAGACGAAAACUACAUGGCAAUGCUUUGUAAAUUGUAAUUGAAAGAAAUGGAAGAACUUGUAGAAAUUGGAGCAUACUGGAGAUAUUUCGGUUGCAAUUGUGGUUGUUGAACUCUUUUAAAAACAGUGUUAAAGAUUCAACAUCUAGAGCACAUUUCUCUACUUUCUAUAUGUUGAAUAUUAUUAUCCAAAUGAAAAUCAAUUUAUCUUUUAACCAAAGGAAUCAGAACAAGGUGUUGUUAGAACACAUAAUAUAAAAGAUACAAAGGAAAAAGCCAUUUUGAGAUGCCAAGUGACAAAUGAAGCUCGUCAAGAGAAUAGGCUAAGCUUAGAGAAAUGUUGCUUUAUAUAUCCUUAUUCCAGUGAUAUACUCAGAUAUGCUAUUGCUAACAUAUUACCAUAGUCAACACCCCAAUCAGCAUACUGUUGAUAGAGCGACCUCAAGAAUGCCCUUCCAGCACCCAACUUUGUGUCAACGCUCAUGAAUCCAUUCUUCAUCCACUUACAAGCCCUCUCUUUCAUUCCUAU